GCAGUCGUGGCCGAGUGGUUAAGGCGAUGGACUAGAAAUUCAUUGGGGUCUCCCGCACAGGCUCAAAUGUUGUCAACUGUG
This 81-nucleotide transfer RNA is filed under the name Ixodes scapularis (black-legged tick). It matches the Rfam family "tRNA". Rfam says of the family: Transfer RNA (tRNA) molecules are approximately 80 nucleotides in length. Their secondary structure includes four short double-helical elements and three loops (D, anti-codon, and T loops). Lineage: Eukaryota; Metazoa; Arthropoda; Arachnida; Ixodida; Ixodidae. The record is from Rfam by way of RNAcentral.